AUACUUAAAUGGCACGGGAAAUACCACAAUCAAGAGGGUGGCUUCCCCAGGAUGAAGCUCUUCCAUCGUAAUCUUCGGUUGGGUAGACCCCUGUGAUUUCCCCAAAUGUGGAAAACUUAACUGCAUAAUUUAUGAUAAUGGGGAACUGCAUAGAUGCAGUCUUCC
Molecule: small nuclear RNA, 165 nt
Organism: Protopterus annectens (West African lungfish)
Lineage: Eukaryota; Metazoa; Chordata; Ceratodontiformes; Protopteridae
Product: U1 spliceosomal RNA
Exons: 1
Source: RefSeq, a predicted model, not a curated record